RNAcentral lists this ribosomal RNA (425 nucleotides) under uncultured bacterium. Its description in RNAcentral is "partial 16S ribosomal RNA". It matches the Rfam family "Bacterial small subunit ribosomal RNA", at positions 354 to 796 of the family's 1533-position model. The record is from RNAcentral.
GUGGGGAAUAUUGGACAAUGGGCGAAAGCCUGAUCCAGCAAUGCCGCGUGAGUGAUGAAGGCCUUAGGGUUGUAAAGCUCUUUUACCCGGGAAGAUAAUGACUGUACCGGGAGAAUAAGCCCCGGCUAACUCCGUGCCAGCAGCCGCGGUAAUACGGAGGGGGCUAGCGUUGUUCGGAAUUACUGGGCGUAAAGCGCACGUAGGCGGUUUUGUAAGUUAGAGGUGAAAGCCUGGGGCUCAACCCCAGAAUUGCCUUUAAGACUGCAUCACUUGAACGUCGGAGAGGUGAGUGGAAUUCCGAGUGUAGAGGUGAAAUUCGUAGAUAUUCGGAAGAACACCAGUGGCGAAGGCGGCUCACUGGACGACUGUUGACGCUGAGGUGCGAAAGCGUGGGGAGCAAACAGGAUUAGAAACCCUAGUAGUCC